Molecule: ribosomal RNA, 278 nt
Filed under: Gonyleptoides marumbiensis
Lineage: Eukaryota; Metazoa; Arthropoda; Arachnida; Opiliones; Gonyleptidae
Description: partial 16S ribosomal RNA
Source: RNAcentral
GCAUAAUCGAUAGUUUUUUAAUUGGAAACUGGAAUGAAGGGUUUAAACUAAAGAGAUAGUUUUAUUUAAUUAUCUUGAAUUUAAAUUAAAAGUAAAAAUGCUUUUAUAAAGUUUUGGGACGAGAAGACCCUAGAAGCUUGUGAUUGUAAAAUUUUUAGUUGGGGUAACUUUUGAAGAUAUUAAUUUUUGAAAAUUUAUAGGAUUUUAAAAUAAAGUUACUCUAGGGAUAACAGCAUAAUUUAAUUAACAAGUUCUUAUUAAUAAUUAAGUUUGUGACC